Molecule: long non-coding RNA, 1583 nt
Organism: Drosophila miranda
Lineage: Eukaryota; Metazoa; Arthropoda; Insecta; Diptera; Drosophilidae
Exons: 20
Source: RefSeq, a predicted model, not a curated record
AAAGUGCUGUUGAUUUUUAACUUAAAACUAAACCAAAAGGAUUCUGAAAAACAAUUUUAUAAAGCAAAAACCAUAAAUUUAACCAGAUGAACUUUAACCUAAAUUAUUCUUCAUUUUAGGUCAAUGCUUCAACAUGGCCAGAGAUCUGGAAAUAUAUAAUGCAGGGCCGCACAUUUCAGCAAGCCGACAUUUUCGUUGGUCAUUCGAUCCGGAAAACGUGACUAAGUGACGAUCCUCCGUAAUUUGGAUCAACGGAGGAACCCCAAUUCAUACCAUAAAUAGAAGUGUAUACCCCCGUUGAAAGACGUCUGAACUACGAACUGGUCUAUCGAAAAGAUAGAACAAAUAAGGAUCAUGAAGCUAGUGUUGCCUUUAUCCGAAGUACCCUGAAGACUUCAAAGUAUUGCAUUGCUUGUGCUGCUCCGAUGAUUUGCUCUACACCAGUUGAUCAGAUUCAGCAGAAUAUAUAAGAUUGAUUUAUCACCACUCUUCUAAGGAUACGACAUUUCCUUGAGUUCCACAUAUAUUUCAAGGUGCAUUUCUUGAUCAGCCGCACUUCAAUCGUAUUCUAUCUGUCAGAUGUGCGUUUUGGUACCUGAAGACUUCAAAGUAUUGCAUUGCUUGUGCUGCUCCGAUGAUUUGCUCUACACCAGUUGAUCAGAUUCAGCAGAAUAUAUAAGAUUGAUUUAUCAUCACUCUCCUAAGGAUACGACAUUUCCUUGAGUUCCACAUAUAUUUCAAGUGACGAUCCUCCGUAAUUUGGAUCAACGGAGGAACCCCAAUUCAUACCAUAAAUAGAAGUGUAUACCCCCGUUGAAAGACGUCUGAACUACGAACUGGUCUAUCGAAAAGAUAGAACAAAUAAGGAUCAUGAAGCUAGUGUUGCCUUUAUCCGAAGUACCCUGAAGACUUCAAAGUAUUGCAUUGCUUGUGCUGGUGCAUUUCUUGAUCAGCCGCACUUCAAUCGUAUUCUAUCUGUCAGAUGUGCGUUUUGGUGACGAUCCUCCGUAAUUUGGAUCAACGGAGGAACCCCAAUUCAUACCAUAAAUAGAAGUGUAUACCCCCGUUGAAAGACGUCUGAACUACGAACUGGUCUAUCGAAAAGAUAGAACAAAUAAGGAUCAUGAAGCUAGUGUUGCCUUUAUCCGAAGUACCCUGAAGACUUCAAAGUAUUGCAUUGCUUGUGCUGGUUGUUUUGUUCGAGAAUAAAAUGCAUAAAAUAAAAAUUAUAGGUCACGUUUGUGGGUUCCAUUCGGUGCAGAGGACUUGGAAGCUAAAAGGUUACUCCGAACACUCAACCCCUUCGCACGCACGCACUCACUUUCCUCUGGGUAGUCGGCCUUCUUUGCAUUUUUAAAGCACCGCGCUGGCAGCCAUCAAUUUAUCAUGCUGUUGUGUUGGCCAUAUAAGCGGAAGUUGUACAACCCAGCACUACAUGCCCUGCCAGCCGUAUGAGCAGCAACAAUACCAUCAGGAGCAGGCAGCCGCAGCGGCAGGCACGAGAUGGAGAAGGAAGUCGAAGACACAACCCCACUUUCGGGGGGCGGGGGAUGAGUGUCACAUCUAUUUUCAACAUUGUGCAC